GAUGAACGCUGGCGGCGUGCCUAAUACAUGCAAGUCGAGCGAACAGACGAGGAGCUUGCUCCUCUGACGUUAGCGGCGGACGGGUGAGUAACACGUGGAUAACCUACCUAUAAGACUGGGAUAACUUCGGGAAACCGGAGCUAAUACCGGAUAAUAUAUUGAACCGCAUGGUUCAAUAGUGAAAGACGGUUUUGCUGUCACUUAUAGAUGGAUCCGCGCCGCAUUAGCUAGUUGGUAAGGUAACGGCUUACCAAGGCAACGAUGCGUAGCCGACCUGAGAGGGUGAUCGGCCACACUGGAACUGAGACACGGUCCAGACUCCUACGGGAGGCGGCAGUAGGGAAUCUUCCGCAAUGGGCGAAAACCUGACGGAGCAACGCCGCGUGAGUGAUAAAGGUAUUCGGAUCGUAAAACUCUGUUAUUAGGGAAGAACAAAUGUGUAAGUAACUAUGCACGUCUUGACGGUACCUAAUCAGAAAGCCACGGCUAACUACGUG
Molecule: ribosomal RNA, 497 nt
Filed under: uncultured bacterium
Lineage: Bacteria
Description: partial 16S ribosomal RNA
Rfam family: Bacterial small subunit ribosomal RNA
Source: RNAcentral